RNAcentral lists this ribosomal RNA (253 nucleotides) under uncultured bacterium. Its description in RNAcentral is "partial 16S ribosomal RNA". It matches the Rfam family "Bacterial small subunit ribosomal RNA", at positions 524 to 776 of the family's 1533-position model. The record is from RNAcentral.
UACGGAAGGCCCGAGCGUUAAUCGGAAUUACUGGGCUUAAAGCGUGCGUAGGCGGAUCGAAGGGUGUCUUGUGAAAUCCCCCGGCUCAACCGGGGAACUGCAGGGCAAACCGCCGAUCUUGAGGCAGGUAGGGGUCGAUGGAACUGUCGGUGGAGCGGUGAAAUGCGUAGAUAUCGACAGGAACGCCGGUGGCGAAGGCGAUCGACUGGGCCUGUCCUGACGCUCAGGCACGAAAGCGUGGGGAGCAAACAGG